UAACUAAAUACUUCCUCUCCCAAACAAAAACUCUUUUUCCGAUGACUUGCCUAAUGCCUACUUCUAAAAUUGCUUCCAAACAAUGCUAGCGAGGAUUGUUAGUCCUCAAAAAAAAGAUGAUUUCCCUUUGGGUUUUCUUGCUUCGGCUUUCCAAUAGUCUGCUAAAUCACUAACAAAAAAAAACAUAUAAUUCCCAAACUGCUUGAGACAAAAAUUCACCUUUAAUUUGUUUGGUGGGACGAGAGACAACUGCAUUUAUUGUUUUGCAGAUCACCGUGGAUCCCCCAGAAUCGGACAACGACGUUAAUGCCUCUGAACAUAACCCGGACCACGACUCGACAGAUCCUCCGGCACCUCUUCCUCUUUUCAGAUCCGGACAGCGAGCUCCACGAGUCGGACAACGAGGCUACUACCACCUGGUAAUACCUGGACCACAACUCGGGACACACACUUCCUUUUCUUCUACCUCCGAUACAUAACUACCAUGUCUAUUUUCCUCACUGCUACUCCUCUCAGCGGAUACGACGGCUAGGAUUUAUUCCCGGCUCGCGGACCGGCUGAGUUUCGUUCUACCAGGGUUCCAUUUUACACCGGGUCUUUAAGACUCGUGUUUAAAAUCGAUCCCUUCUAUUUUCCCUUGGGCGCCAUUUGUUAUGAUCCGCCUCUUUGCCACCCUGGCCUAUCGUUCCCAGCUAGCUCACGGGGAAGUCAGGGGUGUUUCCGACCCGAUAAGUCAGGGGACGGAUUGAACAAAACAAAAACAAAAAAACAUACAAAAAAAACAAAUCUAAUUUAUAGGACAGACUUGUCUUCGUUGGCACUUUCGUCAGCGGGGAUAGUUGGUUUCGUUAUCCCUAGCAGGGUCCCACCCUUCCAUGAGCGCUCCCUUUUCAUAUUCAGGGUCCCACUCUUCUUCUCGCUCUCGUCCCACCCAACUACCGUUUUCUAUUCACUCAUGACUCUUUUCAAAUUUUCAUUUUUAUAUCCAUUAUAUUUUCUUACUUAUCUUCUUGAACAUUAAUUCCUAAUCUAGGUUUAUAUAACGGAAACAAAUACUAACACAAAAAAAAUAAACCCUAUUUCGGCCGAAUUGGCAGCCCCCUUUGAUAGAAGUUGUUGCUUCCUGAUGCUUGCUGAUGUUUACGUUUAAUCGUGGUGUUUUUUUUAUAUGAUCGUGAUAUAUUGUUUAAUUGGCACGUGCGGCCUCCACUAUUCUCCACCGGAAACUCUCUUUUUUUUCUUCCUCCUCGCACCGUUUCCUUUUCUCCCACGCAACUCUGCCACUGCUUCCCAGGAUCCACUAUAGAUGCCGCUGUCUCUCUCUUCUCCAGCCCUGAUACCUAUCGGCUCUCUCCAAAACCGCCCAUAACACCACACUACCGUUUCCAGGAUUACUCCGCCGAAACGGGAGUGCCAAGCAGGCGGGCUUUUUCAAUUAAGGGGCCCCAACGUAGGCCAUCGCCCACACCCUGAGAUUGAGAGUCUCUGGCUCCAUCGACUGAGAUGCCCGGGCUACUGCUUCAGAUCUUUUGCGUGGAACACCCCAAUACGUGAGCCUUGCAACGUCUCCAGCUCGUACUGACGCUGCCUUUCCUUUAUCGGCUUGCGCUCGGACCAUCUAGCUUCGGGUAAUACAGCUUGGUUAACCUUAUAUAUGGUAGUGUAAAUAUUCUUAUUGGUACUUUUUCCUUAGGGG
This is a long non-coding RNA of Drosophila pseudoobscura, 1696 nucleotides long. RefSeq lists it as uncharacterized. The record is from RefSeq and is a predicted model, not a curated record. Lineage: Eukaryota; Metazoa; Arthropoda; Insecta; Diptera; Drosophilidae. The transcript is spliced from 3 exons.